This is a long non-coding RNA of Aquila chrysaetos chrysaetos, 3182 nucleotides long. RefSeq lists it as uncharacterized. The record is from RefSeq and is a predicted model, not a curated record. NCBI's taxonomy places the organism in Eukaryota, Metazoa, Chordata, Aves, Accipitriformes, Accipitridae. The transcript is spliced from 4 exons.
CUUCCUCCCCGACCUGCCGCAGCAGCUCCUGGCUUGCUCGUGAGAGCUGCUGCCACGGCCCGGUGGAUUUUCUCCGGGGGUAUUUUCUGCCUGCACGGUUCCUGCCGGUUGUUUGGUCUGCCGGUCCUGCCAAGAGCCUGUGCUUGGGGAAUGCUGGAGCUGCUCCAGUUUCCCCGGAGCCUGCAUCUUCAGCUGCCUCCUCGUGACAUCCUCCUCCCUUCCCACGCCUGGCAUCCCCUCCGGGUACCGCUCGCCUGCCCUGGAUGGCUGCGAGCCUCCCCCGGCGUGGGGUUCCGGGGCUGGGAGUGUUUCUUUUCUCCUCCCAGCACCUCCAGCUUCAGCAAGUCCCAUGCGAUGGCCCUGCUCCCCCCUUCUAGGGCAAUUUCUGAGCCAGGCUGGGACCGGCCCUUUCCCCUGCACGGGUCAGAAAAGACCCGGAGCAGGCAGCCUCCUCGCUCCGUUAGCACGGAACCAGGGUGACGUGUCCCCUGCGUUAGCAGACCCUGGGACGCUGUGACCCAGAAAGCUGCUUCCCCUCCCUCUUUUCUAAAACAAGCCCAGCUGGUGUUUGCAGGAGCAACUCCUUCGAAGGGAGCCGGCAGAAGCAGCCCUCUCCGGGCUCUGCUCCACCAGGAUCUCAUCCGACGCUUUUCUUGUGGCCGGUGUUUGCAAAAUACAUCCCCCUCCCUGUGGUUCCUGUGGCAUCUGGGAAGCCGUGAGCUCGCCCUGCCCGUCCCCUUCCAGCGAAGUUAUGAGGCCGCUCUCCACCCUCGCCCCCUCAGCGGUCCUUCAGCCACCUCCGCCUUCCUCCGCGCCAGGGCAGGAUGGGGCCGGUGGGUUGGGGAGUGCUGAGCCUGGGGAAAGGAACAGCCCAGCUGCCGAAGAGCCACGGCCAGAACUGGAAACGGGUCACUGGCCACAUCAAAGGACCGCCCAGGAUGGUUGCCUGGGCUGGAGGGACGAGCCUUCACCCGGGAGAGAUCUCCCACCAAGGAAGGUUUAUGAGCCCAUCCUCUUCCUCCCCCUGGCCAGCUGGCUCUUGCCGGGGUUUGGCCAGUUGCCCUGACGUGAUGCUCGGCUAGUCACAGCCCCAAGCAUCGGGAGCUCCUGGGAGGGAUGCGGACCAAAGAUAAGGCUGCGUGGGGGGGGGGGGUCUCACAGUGCCCCUGGAAACCUGCCCAAGGGUGUCUUUGCUUCCCAGGCUGUGGGGAGGAGAGGAAGGGGUGUGCAAUGCUGUGUUUGUUCCUAUCGGGUGUCACCACACCAGCUGGAGCAGUGCUGCAGCCCGCAGAGCUAACCACAGUUAUUUUAGCAGGCUGAUGUUUAUGUUUACCUCCCUGCCUCAGCAAGGCAUUGCUUUUGGUUGCUCACGGUUUUAGCAACGACUGCUGCUCCAGACCAAGCUGAUUCCAGCCCUCUUGGGUCUGGGGCCGUUUGUUCUCACCCAACAGCAGCAAACAGGUAGUUUUGGAGAGAGGCGUCAAAAUAGCUAGUGUGGAGGGGGAAUUCCUGCCGCUCAGACUGGAUUUGUGCUGCAGCAUCAGGGCUGCCGAUGAGGGCUCCCUGGUCCCGUGGGAUGCUGCGUGCACUGAGGUUAGGAGGGGAUCUGGAAAGACCAGGCUUGCCAGGCCCUGGCUCAGACCUUGUCCUCUAGCUCUUGGACUUUGCAGCUGAACAGGCAAAAAAAACCCACAUGAAUCAGUUAAUUUGUCUGUUUUUCUGGGGCAAAACUGGAGCCACAGGUUGCAAACGUCUGCCCUGGCCUCUGCGUCCAGGAGCGGUGCCUGCAGCUGGGGCUGCAGCCUUUCCCCUGUGCCGUCUGCCCGGCUCUUGAGCUUGAAGCUUUGCAAUAACUCAGCUAUUUGAUAAAUCAGGGGAGCCAGAUGGGGAAGGAAAUCAGCCCUUUCCAUAUUUGCGAUUUUCACCAAACAUGGCAGGACCAGGCCAGCAGAAACAGGAGCAAAACCACGCGUUUCCCCUCCCUGCUCCCCUUUAUGCCCAUCCCAGCAGGGCUUGGUAUCGUGUGUGGGGCUCUGAUCUCGCCAGAGACCUCCCAAGCUCCUGGGAUCAGUUCACUCCCAUCUCCGGGCGAAGUUCAAAGCUUUCCCUUCGUUCCUGCCUGCAGCCACGGGGUGUUUAAUGCGCGGCCGGCAUUCCCUGCACGCCGGCGCCCUGGAUGUGAACCGCUGCUUUUCAGCUCUGUCUGAAAAGGAGCCGUCUUGGGGCCUCGCCUCUUAAUUGUGGAGGAGGUGGACAUGAAAAAGCCUCUGGCUGCUUUUAAUGCAGGCAAAGGCGGCUGCUCUCCUUCGCCCAGGCAUCCUGACAGCGGGGUGGUACCCGACCCAGAGCUCUCAUCCUGGGGGUGGUGAGAAACCCUCUGCCUGGUGCUGUUCCUGGUUUUGGGCUGGCAGGUCAGACAGGAGCGGGGAAAAACCCUUUCUGGAAGCUGGAGAUGGUGAAGAUGCUCGCAGAGGCUGGGAGCGUCGCUGCUCUCUAGACAUCAGGACCUCAGGGAUGCCGAGUCCUGCCAGAGCUGGGGCACGGCUGGUCCUGAGUGGGAACUCCCCACCCAGCCUCGCACCCCCGCUCCCCUCCUGCAUCCGAGAGCGGCCAGGCACGGUGUGGAGGUGGGAUGCGACGGCGGGCAUCGUGCCUCCAGCUCCUAGGACCGGCACCAGUGGCGAGGACCAGCGGCGGGGCUGGGGACCUGGGUCCCGCUAAGAGGAUGAAAACAUGGGGCUCAAGUUAUCCUGCCUGAAAGGCUUGAAGACGUGCGUGAGCAGCGGGAACGGCAACGACAGGACCCCGGCGGCAUCCCCAGGCGAGAAGAACCUGCAUGUGCCCUCCAUCAUCGUCACGCCGCCCACGCCCACGGGGACCAUGCUGUCCCGCGAGACCCGGCGGGUGGGGGGGCCACCGCCGUGCAGCCAGUGCUGAGCACGGGGACCUGGGGGGGGGAAAUCCAUCCCCACCGCACCGGGAUGGAGACGCAGCCGCCGGGAUGCAAACUGGCUGGAUCCAGCACCCCGGGAGCUCCCCGGGGACACACGGGUGGGUUUGGACACCGGUGACUGUUUUUUCUCUUUUUUUCCUAAAAGCACCGGGGAGGGGGCGGCAUCGCGCGGCAUCUCCCCGGUGAAUAAAACCCCUGGGGCUCUGCACCCCCCCAGGUUUGGCACCCA